AGGACGAAACGCUGGCGGCGUGCUUAACACAUGCAAGUCGAGCGGAAAGGCCCUUCGGGGUACUCGAGCGGCGAACGGGUGAGUAACACGUGAGAAACCUGCCUUUAGCUCUGGGAUAGCUUCGGGAAACCGAAUUAAUACCGGAUACGACUACUGUCGGCAUCGACAAUGGUAGGAAAGAUUUAUCGGCUAGAGAUGGUCUCGCGGCCUAUCAGCUUGUGGUGAGGUAACGCUCACCAAGGCGACGACGGGUA
This 254-nucleotide ribosomal RNA is filed under the name uncultured bacterium. RNAcentral describes it as "partial small subunit ribosomal RNA". It matches the Rfam family "Bacterial small subunit ribosomal RNA", at positions 32 to 285 of the family's 1533-position model. The record is from RNAcentral.